Non-coding RNA from Vicia faba (fava bean), 339 nucleotides. NCBI's taxonomy places the organism in Eukaryota, Viridiplantae, Streptophyta, Magnoliopsida, Fabales, Fabaceae. The record is from the annotation of a GenBank genome assembly.
GAGAGUACUCCAGUCCCCUUUCAACACGAAAGAGAUUUCAUUAUUGUUAGAUCUCUAGAAGAUAACCUAGCUUUUCUAUACAAGACUCUAACCAAUAAAACCACUAAGAACAAUCCUCUUGGAUUUUCACUAAAUACACUAAGAGAACAAUCCUCUCUUAAUGACUCUCUUUCUUCCAACAAUCCUGGACAGAAAUAUACAACCAAACAAGUAGAACAAGAAAAUAAUCAUUUCCUUUCUACUCUCUUGUUUCUAACAAUCCUAGGGAACAAGAAAUUACAAACCAAAUAUGGAAAUUAUUUGAGUAAUAAAGUUGAUGAGUAUUUAUCAAUCACUUAG